Molecule: ribosomal RNA, 496 nt
Filed under: uncultured bacterium
Lineage: Bacteria
Description: partial 16S ribosomal RNA
Rfam family: Bacterial small subunit ribosomal RNA
Source: RNAcentral
GAUGAACGCUGGCGGCGUGCCUAAUACAUGCAAGUCGAGCGAACAGAUGAGGAGCUUGCUCCUCUGACGUUAGCGGCGGACGGGUGAGUAACACGUGGAUAACCUACCUAUAAGACUGGGAUAACUUCGGGAAACCGGAGCUAAUACCGGAUAAUAUAUUGAACCGCAUGGUUCAAUAGUGGAAGACGGUUUUGCUGUCACUUAUAGAUGGAUCCGCGCGGCAUUAGCUAGUUGGUAAGGUAACGGCUUACCAAGGCAACGAUGCGUAGCCGACCUGAGAGGGUGAUCGGCCACACUGGAACUGAGACACGGUCCAGACUCCUACGGGAGGCAGCGGUAGGAAAUCUGCCGCAAUGGGCGAAGGCCUGACGGAGCAACGCCGCGUGAGUGAUGAAGGUCUUCGGAUCGUAAAACUCUGUUAUUAGGGAAGAACAAAUGUGUAAGUAACUAUGCACGUCUUGACGGUACCUAAUCAGAAGGCCACGGCUAACUACGU